This 374-nucleotide ribosomal RNA is filed under the name uncultured bacterium. RNAcentral describes it as "partial 16S ribosomal RNA". It matches the Rfam family "Bacterial small subunit ribosomal RNA", at positions 338 to 709 of the family's 1533-position model. The record is from RNAcentral.
CCUACGGGAGGCAGCAGUGAGGAAUAUUGGUCAAUGGGCGGAAGCCUGAACCAGCCAAGUCGCGUGAGGGAUGACGGUCCUAUGGAUUGUAAACCUCUUUUGUCGGGGAGCAAGGCCCGGCACGUGUGCCUGGACGGAGAGUACCCGCAGAAUAAGCAUCGGCUACCUCCGUGCCAGCAGCCGCGGUAAUACGGGGGAUUCAAGCGUUAUCCGGAUUCAUGGGGUUUAAGGGGUGCUUAGGUGGGAGGUUAAGUCAGUGGUAAAGUGGCGGGCCUAAACCCCGGCCUGCAGUUGAAACUGGGAGUCUGGAGUGAGGGAGAGGUAGGCGGAAUGCGCGGUGUAGCGGUGAAAUGCGUAGAUAUCAAGAAGAACCC